This 71-nucleotide transfer RNA is filed under the name Bradymonas sediminis. It matches the Rfam family "tRNA". From Rfam's summary of the family: Transfer RNA (tRNA) molecules are approximately 80 nucleotides in length. The record is from Rfam by way of RNAcentral. Lineage: Bacteria; Deltaproteobacteria; Bradymonadales; Bradymonadaceae.
UCGGGUGUAGCCAAGCGGCAAGGCAGCGGGUUUUGAUCCCGUCAUCCUAGGUUCGAUCCCUAGCACCCGAA